UACGGAGGAUCCGAGCGUUAACCGGAAUUAUUGGGUUUAAAGGGCGCGUAGGCGGACUGAUAAGUCAGCUGUGAAAGUUUACGGCUCAACCGUGAAAUUGCAGUUGAUACUGUUGGGCUUGAGUAUACAUGAGGUAGGCAGAAUUUGCGGUGUAGCGGUGAAAUGCUUAGAUAUCACGAAGAACUCCAGUGGCGAAGGCAGCUCACUGGGGUAUAACUGACGCUGAUGCACGAAGGUGUGGGUAUCAAACAGG
Molecule: ribosomal RNA, 253 nt
Filed under: uncultured bacterium
Lineage: Bacteria
Description: partial 16S ribosomal RNA
Rfam family: Bacterial small subunit ribosomal RNA
Source: RNAcentral